AGUGAUUUGUCUGGUUAGUUCCGUUAACGAACGAGACCACCGCCUACUAAAUAGUACAUAUCUUCGCGAGAAAGUAUGAGACUUCUUAGAGGGACAUUUCGGGUCUACCGGAAGGAAGUUUGUGGCAAUAACAGGGCUGUGAUGGCCUUAGAUGUUCUGGGCCGCACGCGCGCUACACUGAUCGGUUCAGCAAGUUUUCAUUCUUUGGAGUGGAGUCCUUGACCGGAAGGUCUGGGUAAUCUGAAAAGGCGAUCGUGAUGGGGCUAGAUUUUUGCAAUUAUUAAUCUCCAACGAGGAACC
Molecule: ribosomal RNA, 300 nt
Filed under: Thraustochytriidae sp.
Lineage: Eukaryota; Bigyra; Thraustochytrida; Thraustochytriidae
Description: SSU rRNA
Rfam family: Eukaryotic small subunit ribosomal RNA
Source: RNAcentral